AGGGGCAGCGGGAAGGUUAGCUUGCUAACCUUUGCUGGCGACCGGCGCACGGGUGAGUAACACGUAUGCAACCUGUCCGGUACAGGGGGAUAAGCGGCGGAAACGCCGUCUAAUACCGCGUGACAACCCGAGGGGGCAUCCCCUUGGGUUCAAAGGAGAGAUCCGGUACCGGCUGGGCAUGCGGCGCAUUAGCUAGUUGGCGGGGCAACGGCCCACCAAGGCGACGAUGCGUAGGGGUUCUGAGAGGAAGGUCCCCCACACUGGAACUGAGACACGGUCCAGACUCCUACGGGAGGCAGCAGUGAGGAAUAUUGGUCAAUGGGCGCAAGCCUGAACCAGCCAAGUCGCGUGAGGGAAGACGGCUCUACGGGUUGUAAACCUCUUUUGCCGGGGAGCAAGCCUGAGCACGUGUGCCCAGGCGGAGAGUACCCGGAGAAAAAGCAUCGGCUAACUCCGUGCCAGCAGCCGCGGUAAUACGGAGGAUGCGAGCGUUAUCCGGAUUUAUUGGGUUUAAAGGGUGCGCAGGCGGGCUGUUAAGCCGGCGGUAAAAAUUCAGGGCUCAACCCCGUCGAGCCGUCGGAACUGGCAGUCUUGAGUGGGCGAGAAGUAUGCGGAAUGCGUGGUGUAGCGGUGAAAUGCAUAGAUAUCACAAAGAACGCCAAUUGCGAAGGCAGCAUACCGGCGCCCAACUGACGCUGAGGCACGA
Molecule: ribosomal RNA, 706 nt
Filed under: uncultured bacterium
Lineage: Bacteria
Description: bacterial SSU rRNA
Rfam family: Bacterial small subunit ribosomal RNA
Source: RNAcentral